RNAcentral lists this ribosomal RNA (306 nucleotides) under uncultured bacterium. Its description in RNAcentral is "bacterial SSU rRNA". It matches the Rfam family "Bacterial small subunit ribosomal RNA", at positions 30 to 334 of the family's 1533-position model. The record is from RNAcentral.
AUUGAACGCUGGCGGCAUGGCUAAAACAUGCAAGUCGAACGCGAAAGUACCUUCGGGUGCGAGUAGAGUGGCGAAAGGGCGAGUAAUGCGUUUCUAACGUGCCCCAAGGUCAGGGAUAGCAUCGGGAAACCGUUGGUAAUACCUGAUAAUCCCAAUCGAACGAAUGUUCAGUUGGGCAAAGGCUUGCUGCCUUGGGAUCGGGAAACGUGCUAUCAGGUUGUUGGUGAGGUAAUGGCUCACCAAGCCUAAGACGGCUAGCGGGUGUGAGAGCACGACCCGCCGCAUCGGGACUGAGACACUGCCCGG